Molecule: ribosomal RNA, 494 nt
Filed under: Ligia oceanica (common sea slater)
Lineage: Eukaryota; Metazoa; Arthropoda; Malacostraca; Isopoda; Ligiidae
Description: partial 16S ribosomal RNA
Rfam family: Bacterial large subunit ribosomal RNA
Source: RNAcentral
CGCCUGCUACUUAAACAACAGGUAGAAUCUGCCCAAUGAUCCAUUUAAUGGCCGCAGUAUCCUGACUGUGCUAAGGUAGCAUAAUAAUUUGCCUCGUAAUUGGAGGCUAGAAUGAAGGAUCUGACGAAGGAAACCCUGUCUUGACAUUUGACCUAAAAUUUAAUGUUUAAGUAAAAAAGCUUAGAUUAAGCGAAGGGACGACAAGACCCUAAAAGCUUUUUUUAUUGACGUAAAUCUGAUAAAUUCACCUAAAGGUAACUGUUAAUAAUUUAGCUGGGGCGGCUGUAAUUAAACUUACACAAAUAAUAUACUCACAUAUUUGAUGACACUAAUUAACUUCUCUAGAAACCUAAAAUAAAGUUACUUUAGGGAUAACAGCGCAAUAUCUCAAUAGAGUCCCUAUCGACUGGGAUGAUUGCGACCUCGAUGUUGAAUUGAGAACCUUCCUGAAGCAGUACUCAGGGAAAGGGAGUCUGUUCGACUCUUAACCUCUC